This 253-nucleotide ribosomal RNA is filed under the name uncultured bacterium. RNAcentral's name for it is "partial 16S ribosomal RNA". It matches the Rfam family "Bacterial small subunit ribosomal RNA", at positions 524 to 776 of the family's 1533-position model. The record is from RNAcentral.
UACGGAGGGUGCAAGCGUUGUCCGGAUUUAUUGGGUUUAAAGGGUGCGUAGGCGGCCAGUUAAGUCAGCGGUGAAAGUUUUCGGCUCAACCGGAAAAAUGCCGUUGAUACUGGUUGGCUUGAGUCACGGAAGGGUACAUGGAAUUGGUGGUGUAGCGGUGAAAUGCAUAGAUACCAUCAGGAACACCGAUAGCGAAGGCAUUGUACUUGCCGUGAACUGACGCUGAGGCACGAAAGCGCGGGUAGCGAACAGG